This 357-nucleotide long non-coding RNA is filed under the name Salmo salar (Atlantic salmon). RNAcentral's name for it is "lncRNA (ENSSSAG00000094911.1)". Lineage: Eukaryota; Metazoa; Chordata; Actinopteri; Salmoniformes; Salmonidae. The record is from RNAcentral.
GUAAGGUACUGACUACAUUACAGGGUAGUGAUCAAUAGAUGGGGAAAGGUACUGACUACAUUACAGGGUAGUGAUCAAUAGACGGGGUAAGGUACUGACUACAUUACAGGGUAGUGAUCAAUAGAUGUGGAAAGGUAAGGUACUGACUACAUUACAGGGUAGUGAUCAAUAGAUGGGGUAAGGUACUGACUACAUUACAGGGUAGUGAUCAAUAGACGGGGAAAGGUACUGACUACAUUACAGGGUAGUGAUCAGUAGAUGGGGAAAGGUAAGGUACUGACUACAUUACAGGGUAGUGAUCAAUAGACGGGGAAAGGUAAGGUACUGACUACAUUACAGGGUAGUGAUCAAUAGACG